Long non-coding RNA from Salvelinus sp. IW2-2015, 872 nucleotides. RefSeq lists it as uncharacterized. NCBI's taxonomy places the organism in Eukaryota, Metazoa, Chordata, Actinopteri, Salmoniformes, Salmonidae. The record is from RefSeq and is a predicted model, not a curated record.
CUUUAAUAAUUACUGCCGGUGUCUCGGUUAUAUCAAGGACGGGCCUUUCGAAGUAUUAAUUACUCAAUAUGUUAAUCAAUCGAAAUGCCAGCGGGCAGCAAAACAACUAUGGCGAGCUCUGAAUCAUCGAGAAAAGUAUAACGCUGAAAAUAUGACUAGGUCUACCAAGAAUUGGCUACAUUUACCAACAUUGUUCCAUCGUGGCGUAACAUUUAACAUAUCAACGUUUGAUGUAACAUGACAGUGAAGAAUAUGAGGGUGGUAUAAUUAGGUGGCAAUGUGCAUUAGGUGGAUGAGUGUCAGAGAAAAUGGUAGCCUAUAGUCGACCUGAGUUUUGAAUAGGCCAGUAAAAGGGUAAAAAAAAAAGACAAGUAUGUUCUUAACAGCAUUGUUGGUUAAGGGCUUGUGACUCCGAUCAGUGUCUCAUUGAUACAAAGGGCAAAGGUGUAAAGGGGUGUGUCUUUGCCACUAGGAUUUCACAGUCCUUUUCUACACACCCUUUAAUAAUAGUAAAAUCAUCAGUCAGAAGAGGACAAGCCAUCUGAGGCCUCCUAGCCAGCUGCUUAGACAGGGCCUCCUCUAGCUUUCAUUACCCCAUGUGGUUAGCCAUUCUUGCUGGCUGGGACUGAAAUCCAGAAAAGAUCCAGACAUGAUUACUGCUGCUUAUGUCAGAGGACAAGUCACUCUUCUCUGAUAAGGACAUACAUAAAGUUUUAUGAGUGGAGAUGUUUACGAGUUUCUUGUUAAAUUGUCUUUCAAUCCAUUCUCUUAAAUGUUUCAAUUCCACCUGUGUCUGCAUCUGAUGUUUCUCUAUUUGUUAAAUAGAGGCCAGAAAUAUAUUGAAUGUAAUAAAUGUAGAUACUAAGUAAGAA